Molecule: non-coding RNA, 82 nt
Organism: Podarcis lilfordi (Lilford's wall lizard)
Lineage: Eukaryota; Metazoa; Chordata; Lepidosauria; Squamata; Lacertidae
Source: the annotation of a GenBank genome assembly
GUAAUUUUAAAACAAUUGCAUAAUGGGUCAGUGCAUCUGGCUGUUAACCAGAAGGUUGGUGGUUCGAGCCCACCCUGGGACA